Molecule: ribosomal RNA, 434 nt
Filed under: uncultured bacterium
Lineage: Bacteria
Description: partial 16S ribosomal RNA
Rfam family: Bacterial small subunit ribosomal RNA
Source: RNAcentral
AGCGAACGCUGGCGGCAGGCCUAACACAUGCAAGUCGAACGAACCUUUCGGGGUUAGUGGCGGACGGGUGAGUAACACGUGGGAACGUGCCUUUAGGCUUGGAAUAACUCAGGGAAACUUGUGCUAAUACCGAAUGUGCCCUUCGGGGGAAAGAUUUAUCGCCUUUAGAGCGGCCCGCGUCUGAUUAGCUAGUUGGUUGAGGUAAUGGCUCACCAAGGCGACGAUCAGUAGCUGGUCUGAGAGGAUGAUCAGCCACAUUGGGACUGAGACACGGCCCAAACUCCUACGGGAGGCAGCAGUGGGGAAUCUUGCGCAAUGGGCGAAAGCCUGACGCAGCCAUGCCGGGUGAAUGAUGAAGGUCUUAGGAUAGUGAAAUUCUUUCACCGGUGACGAGAGUGACGGUACCCGGAGAAGAAGCCCCGGCUAACUACGUG